AACGAACGCUGGCGGCAGGCUUAACACAUGCAAGUCGAACGCCCCGCAAGGGGAGUGGCCGCCGGGUGAGUAACGCGUGGGAACAUACCCUUUUCUACGGAAUAGCUCUGGGAAACUGGAAUUAAUACCGUAUACGCCCUACGGGGGAAAGAUUUAUCGGGGAAGGAUUGGCCCGCGUUGGAUUAGCUAGUUGGUGGGGUAAAGGCCUACCAAGGCGACGAUCCAUAGCUGGUGUGAGAGGAUGAUCAGCCACAUUGGGACUGAGACACGGCCCAAACUCCUACGGGAGGCAGCAGUGGGGAAUAUUGGACAAUGGGCGCAAGCCUGAUCCAGCCAUGCCGCGUGAGUGAUGAAGGCCUUAGGGUUGUAAAGCUCUUUCACCGAUGAAGAUAAUGACGGUAGUCGGAGAAGAAGCCCCGGCUAACUUCGUG
Molecule: ribosomal RNA, 431 nt
Filed under: uncultured bacterium
Lineage: Bacteria
Description: partial 16S ribosomal RNA
Rfam family: Bacterial small subunit ribosomal RNA
Source: RNAcentral